GACGAACGCUGGCGGCGUGCCUAAUACAUGCAAGUAGAACGCUGAAGAGAGGAGCUUGCUCUUCUUGGAUGAGUUGCGAACGGGUGAGUAACGCGUAGGUAACCUGCCUUGUAGCGGGGGAUAACUAUUGGAAACGAUAGCUAAUACCGCAUAACAAUGGAUGACACAUGUCAUUUAUUUGAAAGGGGCAAUUGCUCCACUACAAGAUGGACCUGCGUUGUAUUAGCUAGUAGGUGAGGUAAUGGCUCACCUAGGCGACGAUACAUAGCCGACCUGAGAGGGUGAUCGGCCACACUGGGACUGAGACACGGCCCAGACUCCUACGGGAGGCAGCAGUAGGGAAUCUUCGGCAAUGGGGGCAACCCUGACCGAGCAACGCCGCGUGAGUGAAGAAGGUUUUCGGAUCGUAAAGCUCUGUUGUAAGUCAAGAACGGGUGUGAGAGUGGAAAGUUCACACU
Molecule: ribosomal RNA, 458 nt
Filed under: uncultured bacterium
Lineage: Bacteria
Description: bacterial SSU rRNA
Rfam family: Bacterial small subunit ribosomal RNA
Source: RNAcentral